RNAcentral lists this ribosomal RNA (407 nucleotides) under uncultured bacterium. RNAcentral describes it as "partial 16S ribosomal RNA". It matches the Rfam family "Bacterial small subunit ribosomal RNA", at positions 29 to 526 of the family's 1533-position model. The record is from RNAcentral.
AUUGAACGCUGGCGGCAGGCCUAACACAUGCAAGUCGAGCGGAGCGGCGGACGGGUGAGUCAUGCCUAGGAAUCUGCCUGGUAGUGGGGGAUAACGUCCGGAAACGGGCGCUAAUACCGCAUCCUAUCAGAUGAGCCUAGGUCGGAUGUGCUAGGUGGUGUGGGAAAGGCCUACCAAGGCGACGAUCCGUAACUGGUCUGAGAGGAUGAUCAGUAACACUGGAACGGAGAAACGGUCCAGACUCCUACGGGAGGCAGCAGUGGGGAAUAUUGGACAAUGGGCGAAAGCCUGAUCCAGCCAUGCCGCGUGGGUGAAGAAGGUCUUCGGUGGGGAAAGCACUUGAAGUUGGGAGGCGUUACCAACAGAAUAAGCACCGGCUAACUUCGUGCCAGCAGCCGCGGUAAUAC